AAUCAAAAGUCUUCCAGCCAAUCAGCCUAAACAAAAUAGCAACGUUAAUUUGUUCCAAGACACAAACGCACAAAGUACAGUAUAUUGAACUUCUACAAUAUAAAACAGUCUCCUAAAGUUGAACGUGAGUGUCAGAUUAUCUGACUUGCAAAUUAGGACGUUUUGCUUCUGCGUCUGGAGGUGUGACAGGUUGUGGUAGAAUGGAUAUGGUAGCUCUCUCUUUUCCAGGCUUAAAGCCUUACUGUCAUCCCUCAUGCAAAAGCAAUUCCAUGGUUUUGCUCAUCCCUGUUACCCUUCCUCUGUGUUUUCCAUCACUCCUGUCUCCCUUUUGAGACACAGAGCCAACAUUCAAGAUGCCACACCACGGACCUAAAGGCAUAUUCCUUUCCUAAUAAUAACUGAAGUUCUCUUGCUGUGAUUGAUAGUCAAUCAUUUUAUUGGUACUGACAAACAAGCUCACAGUUCCACAGAACUACCCGUCCUGAUCUUAAAGUCUCAUUUUUAAGUGUUCACAGCUCAAAUCUCGGUGUCGUGUAAACUUUGGCUUUCUCCCUCAUCCACUGCACAACAUGCAUUAAGUUUACAAUUAGCUACUCUUAAAGAGAAAAAAAACAAAAUGAAUGAAAAACAAAACAUGAAUUUACCAUCCACUUUGUCUCAUGAGGUCUUUCUAUAAUUCUUCAUGGUUAGCUUUCCUCUUUACUACUCUGAGUAAUUUAGUGUCAACAGCAAAUGUUGUAUUAUUAAAAAACGAUCCAGAAAAGAGGUGAGCACCAGAGAAUAACUCCUAUGGGACUCUACUGGUGGCUUUUCUCUGCACUAUAAUCUAUUUAUUCCUACCCUUUGGCCAAUCAUUUACUCAUAUAGGAAACCUUCUCUUUUAUCCUGUAGCAAUUUUGUCCAGAAACUGUAGCAGCAAAGUAACGAACAAGUGGCUGAUCACAAGACAGUGAGGAAUAAAUGGUAGCACACACUGUUUCAGUCGCAGCAACGAAGAGUGGAGAACCAGGAAAUAAUGCCUUGCGGAUUUUGAGGAGAAACCGUAACGUGUUUUCAGGAAAGAUUUUUCCUUGCCUUAAGACUGCCAGCUUUGGGUGAAUAUAAAUUGAGGGGGCUGGGGGAAGGCAAUGAUGACACAGAAAGCCAACCAACUAAAAAAAAAAAAAAAA
Struthio camelus australis is the source of this 1169-nucleotide long non-coding RNA. RefSeq lists it as uncharacterized. Lineage: Eukaryota; Metazoa; Chordata; Aves; Struthioniformes; Struthionidae. The record is from RefSeq and is a predicted model, not a curated record.